Non-coding RNA from Acanthosepion pharaonis, 113 nucleotides. Lineage: Eukaryota; Metazoa; Mollusca; Cephalopoda; Sepiida; Sepiidae. The record is from the annotation of a GenBank genome assembly.
UAUGGUCACAUCAGGUUAAAACGCCAAUUCUCUUGCGAUCACCGAAGUUAAGCAACGUCGAACCUGGUCGGUACUUAGAUGAGUCACCGUUUUGGAAUACCAGGUGUUGUAAG